Rattus rattus (black rat) is the source of this 258-nucleotide long non-coding RNA. RefSeq lists it as uncharacterized. Lineage: Eukaryota; Metazoa; Chordata; Mammalia; Rodentia; Muridae. The transcript has 2 exons. The record is from RefSeq and is a predicted model, not a curated record.
CUUAGUAGCUGCAAAAGACUUGUGUACAAGUUAACUCCUGGUACGAUAAAGGAUAGGAACGCUCUCUCAACUCCAGGCUUUGAAGAUGGAGGAGGGGCCACGGCCCAGCCAAGUGGGCAGCUGAAAGAGAGAAGGAGUUGGAGUUUGUCCUAGCGCCUCCAGAAGGAACUCUGCCUCCCGACGCCUUGACUUUAGCUUGCUUUUGGACUUCUGACCUCUGGUAGUAUAAGAUAAUAAAUUUAUAUUGUUUUAAGCCAC